Molecule: long non-coding RNA, 336 nt
Filed under: Mus spicilegus (steppe mouse)
Lineage: Eukaryota; Metazoa; Chordata; Mammalia; Rodentia; Muridae
Description: lncRNA (ENSMSIG00000013516.1)
Source: RNAcentral
CUCUAUAGCAGAAGACUCUACAGCAGAAGACUCUACAGCAGAAGACUGUAUAGGAAAAGGAAGCACAGGUCAGUGGCCUUCAGUCAACAGAGAAGCACAACCGAGGAGCAAUCCCAUGGAGAAUGGAACUUUGAUAACCACACAGCACAUGCUCUGCGGAAAGCCAAUGAGACGUACGAAUGCUAGCCAAUCACCUUGUCCUGGAACUCGAGGCUCCUCUGAAUCAGCCUGCUUGGGAAGCUGUCAGUAGAAACUAAGCAAGGACAAGCAGAGAAGUCGACUUUACCAGGAGGAAGUAUCCAGAAAGGAGCCAGCAGUUUUGUUUCUGUAUGAUAA